GUAGUCUCGCACAGAUGCAUAUCAAUAAGCGGAGGAAAAGAAACUAACAAGGAUUCCCUCAGUAACGGCGAGUGAAGCGGGAAGAGCUCAAAAUUGAAAUCUUGAAAGGUCACCUUUCACGAAUUGUAGUUUAAAGAAGUGUUUUCUGUUACGAUCGUAAUAUAAGUUCUUUGGAAUAGGACAUCACAGAGGGUGAGAAUCCCGUCUAUGAUUGCGAUUUGUAGCUUUGUGAUACACUUUCAAAGAGUCGGGUUGUUUGGGAAUGCAGCCCAAAACGGGAGGUAAAUUUCUUCUAAGGCUAAAUAUUGGCGAGAGACCGAUAGCGAACAAGUACCGUGAGGGAAAGAUGAAAAGAACUUUGAAAAGAGAGUUAAAUAGUACGUGAAAUUGUCAAAAGGGAAGCGUUUAACACCAGUGUUGUUUUCUGAAAAUCAACCUCUGUUAGCUUUAUGCAUGUUUGUUUAGACCUAAUCAGCUAUCUUGCAUGUUCUAUUGUUUGCAGUGGUGCACUUUUCAGUUUACAGGUCAACAUCAGUUUUUUUUACCGUAAAAAAGUUAAAGAAAGGUAGCUCAUGGCUCCGGUCGUGAGUGUUAUAGUCUUUUUCCUAUGCGGUAGGAGAGACUGAGGUCUGCAGUGUAGGCUAUUUGGCUAGAUACUCAGGUGCUAUGUGAUACCAUUUCAUAAACAACUUGUUGAUUAUGUUUUGUCUAUUGCAUACUCGCUUGUACUAUCAUACCUACGCUUAGGAUGUUGAGUCGUAGAGCACGCAG
This 771-nucleotide ribosomal RNA is filed under the name uncultured Neocallimastigales. RNAcentral describes it as "partial large subunit ribosomal RNA". It matches the Rfam family "Eukaryotic large subunit ribosomal RNA", at positions 24 to 628 of the family's 3401-position model. Lineage: Eukaryota; Fungi; Neocallimastigomycota; Neocallimastigomycetes; Neocallimastigales. The record is from RNAcentral.